Long non-coding RNA from Heterocephalus glaber (naked mole-rat), 281 nucleotides. RefSeq lists it as uncharacterized. NCBI's taxonomy places the organism in Eukaryota, Metazoa, Chordata, Mammalia, Rodentia, Bathyergidae. The record is from RefSeq and is a predicted model, not a curated record.
UCCUUACUACUGCUGUGUGUUCUUCUCAAUUCCUUGUUCAGGACACAAACAGCUACCUUUAUGGGAAAACCCAGCAUUUGAAGAGAAACUGCCUCACUAGAGCUGCCCAGGUGUCCACAGCUGUCCUGUUCCUCAUGCAGCUCUUCUUUCUUCACCUCAAGUUUUCAGCUCCAGAAAAGAUGAAGACUGGAAAAUCAUAAACAUUUUCAAAAGUCAGUGGCAAAAGAACAAAGAGCAAAAGACCACAGAGGGGAGAGAAAAUAAUAAAUCCAAAACAGACU